RNAcentral lists this ribosomal RNA (253 nucleotides) under uncultured bacterium. RNAcentral describes it as "partial 16S ribosomal RNA". It matches the Rfam family "Bacterial small subunit ribosomal RNA", at positions 524 to 776 of the family's 1533-position model. The record is from RNAcentral.
UACAGAGGGUGCGAGCGUUAAUCGGAAUUAUUGGGCGUAAAGCGCGCGCAGGUGGUUUCUUAAGUCUGAUGUGAAAGCCCACGGCUCAACCGUGGAGGGUCAUUGGAAACUGGGGAACUUGAGUGCAGAAGAGGAAAGUGGAAUUCCAAGUGUAGCGGUGAAAUGCGUAGAGAUUUGGAGGAACACCAGUGGCGAAGGCGACUUUCUGGUCUGUAACUGACACUGAGGCGCGAAAGCGUGGGGAGCGAACAGG